UUGGAAUUUAAACCCAGAUCUUCCAGCUUUAUCUAUCUUGACACAUACCACCAGUGGCUUGUUUCUUCUGGCUGCUGGGGAAGGUGGAGGGCCAGAUGGGCGUUUUUGGAUAGCCAAGAAGGGAAGAGGAUCAGGGAUUUAGCUCUUAGAAAUCAUCCAAUCCAGAAAAGGAAACUGAGGUCCAGAAAUUUAAAGGCCUGUGUGUGUGUGUGUGUGUGUGUGUGUGUGUGUGUGUGUAUGUGUAUGUGUAGGGGUGGGGUGGGGAUCGGUGCUGAGGAAGCAGAAGUAUUUCCUCCGAAAUGUCUCCGAAGUCUGUAUUACUCCCGCUUCACUCGGGAUUGGGCAAAGUGCGAACGCGCUCGCUCUGCGCCAAGCCCUCCCAGCUCCGGAUUCGGAGACCGAACCUGGACUCUGGGUUCCGGCCCCUCACCUCGGCAACAACUCCCAGAGCUCCAGGAUUGAGCCACAUCCCAUACUUGAACUAAGAAUUCUCAUCGCUGCACUGCUAGCUGCUUCUGUCUUGCUGCCACCCCUGGAGCUUCAUGAUUUCCUAUAAUACAUCUCUGCGUGUAGCUGUACUCUGUCAGACCUUCCUUCUCUUCUGUCCUCCAGGUUCCUUGUGGCAUGUGCCCUUUUCCCUGUACCCCUUAAUGACCAAACCUAAAAGUAAUAGCUAAGUAAUGUCACCUUAGUUCGAACUUGAGUUUGUGCCAAAAGGCUAAUCCAAGAGUGAAUCAGUUUAUGCCUUGCUCAGGUAACAAUAUUCAGGUAACAGUAGAUGGAAGAAAAGUUGGACUAGAUGGCCCCUUUGGUUCUUCUACCUAUCAAUCCAUCAACAAAUAUUUCCUAAAGGCCUAUAUGUGCUAGGCACUAUGCUAGAACCAGAUGGUCACUUUGGUCCCUUCCACCUAUCAAUCUAUCAAUAAACUUUAACUAAGGGCCCUCUAUGUAUUAGGUACUAUGUUAAUCUCUGGAAAUACAAAAAGAAGCUGCCCUCAAAAAGCUCACAAUUUAAUACAUCUGUGAUCAUCAUAUCCCUAUGAUAGGUUUAAAUGACACCUCUUGCUAUUUAUUACCUACUAGUGUCAGUCAACUAGCAUUUAAAAGUCUGUACUUACUCUGUGCCAGGCAAAUAAAGGUGAAAAAAACAAAAUGAACCCUGUUCUCAAGGAGCUCACAAUCUAAUAAGGGAGGUGAUAGGCAAACUACUAUGUACAAUCUAUAGGCAGGAUAAACUUUGGGCAGUCUCAUAGGGAAGGCUCUAAGAGUGAGGACGACUAGGAAACUCUUCUUGCAGAAGGGAAGACGUUGGCUAAGACCUAAAAGAAACUAAGGAAGCCAAGAAGGAGUAGAUGAGAUCACUGAACCUUAGGCAAGACUUCCCAGUCUUAAGAGACUCAUGUGGAUUUUGUGUAACAUAAGACGGAACUAUAUACAGGAUCACUAAGAGUCUUUCUAGCUCUGAAUCCUAUGAUUCUGUGCCAAGUCAGGGUAGCAGUCUCUAGA
Molecule: long non-coding RNA, 1506 nt
Filed under: Sarcophilus harrisii (Tasmanian devil)
Lineage: Eukaryota; Metazoa; Chordata; Mammalia; Dasyuromorphia; Dasyuridae
Description: lncRNA (ENSSHAG00000022383.1)
Source: RNAcentral